CUAUCCUUAACUUUUAAAAGGAAAAAAAAACCCCAAUCGAAUCGAGUAAAAAUAAUCCUCCCCUUUUGUGCCGCGGAGCUUCGGCGAGGUUGGGUUCACCCUGGCCUUGCCCGACCGGCUGCAGCCGGCGCGCUCCGCCAUCCGGAGGGUGGCUCCAUUCAGGCGAGCGCUCCGACGUCCCUCCCUCCCCUUCCCUCUCUUUUCUUUCCCUCGGCCAGGCGCUUUUUUCGGGGGCUCCCCGUGGCGGAUGUGUGUGGAGAAUGGGGGUUAGCAGGGUUGGGCGAGCCCGAGCUGCCGUGCGCCCUAGGCGCGGAGGGGGAGGCGCUCCCCGGGGGUCUGGGCGCUGGUGGUGGUGGAGGAAAAGGAGGCGGCGGCAGGAGCCGGAGCCGCCAGGACGUGCUGCCCUCCCUCGGCUCUGCCUGGACGCCCCCAGCCGGGCAUUCAUUUCUCCCUCCCGCCAGCCAGCCAGCCAGCCAGCGUGCCAGCCUUCCCCGCCCCCCUUCCCUCCGAUGGGGCUGCUGCUGCAGCGGCUCCUCUCCGGCUCCUGCUCCUCCUCCCCACUCGCGCCUGCCGCCGCCGCCGCCACAACGAGGCGGGCUCGUCUCAUCCUUAUUAACCGCCUCAGCGAGGUCGCACCGACGGAGAGAAAAGAGAGACGCGGAACUCGCACGCUACCCGCACCGUGCUCCACAAACGCCGGGCCCUGGGUCGCGUUCCUCCGCCGCUGACGGAGGCGGGAUCCGCUGCGUCGCCUGCGGUACCGGGCGGAGGAGAGGGACCGGACCUCGCGCCCUGGCUCUCCCCGUCGGUGAUCGGGGAAGGUUGUUGCUGCGCUCGCCGCGGGAGGGAAGGGGAGACGCGAGCCCGCCCGCGUUCCCGAGGCGCCUGCCUGCCUGCCUGCCCGGCGGGGAUCCGGAACGACCUACUCUCCAGAGGUGGCUGCUUGCUUUGGGGAGGCGGCGGGAAACGGGGAGAGGGAUCCAAAGAGCAUGGGUGGCCAGGAGGGGAAAGGAGAAGCAUUUGGAUCGAAGGGAUAGCGUUGGGAAUAAGGACGAUUUGCGGAAGCCAACCGUCUCUCCCUCCCGAUUAUUUUUGGGGAGGGAAGGGGAGAGACCAGCGGGGGGAAAAAGGGUUUUUCCCGGGAUAACAAAAGAGGUUGCAUUUUUAGGACGUUUGUGUUUCUCGAAAGAGAGCGGUGGAUCCUAA
This 1206-nucleotide long non-coding RNA is filed under the name Pogona vitticeps (central bearded dragon). Its description in RNAcentral is "lncRNA (ENSPVIG00000015117.1)". Lineage: Eukaryota; Metazoa; Chordata; Lepidosauria; Squamata; Agamidae. The record is from RNAcentral.